Molecule: ribosomal RNA, 253 nt
Filed under: uncultured bacterium
Lineage: Bacteria
Description: partial 16S ribosomal RNA
Rfam family: Bacterial small subunit ribosomal RNA
Source: RNAcentral
UACGGUGGGGGCAAGCGUCGUUCGGAAUUACUGGGCGUAAAGGGCUUGUAGGUGGCCAACUAAGUCAGACGUGAAAUCCCACGGCUUAACCGGGGAACUGCGUCUGAUACUGGAUGGCUUGAGUGUGGGAGAGGGAUGCGGAAUUCCCGGUGUAGCGGUGAAAUGCGUAGAGAUCGGGAGGAAUACCUAUGGCGAAAGCAGGCUUCUGGGCCGUCACUGACGCUGAGCUGCGAAAGCUAGGGGAGCAAACAGG